CUCACCCUGGCCCCCACACUCACCCUGGCCCCCACACUCUCCUGAGUAUUUCACCGGUCCACUCACAGGGGCCCUCCAGAUGUCAGCCUCUGCACCAGCUUCGAGGACACCAACCAUGAAAGGUCGAGAAGGCCAACGGACUCAUCAAACGACAGCUCCCCAAGCUCGCCAUUGAACUCAGAAACUUGUCUUCUUUGCUUCCUCAAGAAACAGAUGGAUGACAAUUAACUGGAUGUUCCUCCACUCACACCUCCUGCUGAAUAGUGCCAGAAGUACAGGUGUGAGCCGCCGUUCCAAGUUGGCCCCUUGGGUUUCUGUCUCCUCAACCACCGAGGAGCCUGAACAACACAAUCCUUGGCCGACCUCCCUCAGGAGAGUCUGUGCUUCUUCUCCAAGGCGAAAAGAAUUUUCACUACUGGUCAUGCGCUAACGUGCUUGUGGUCUGAGUGUUUGUGCACCCACCCCACCCCCCUUCGACCCCCAACUUCACACGCUGGAUGCUGCAAGUG
Long non-coding RNA from Peromyscus eremicus (cactus mouse), 509 nucleotides. RefSeq lists it as uncharacterized. NCBI's taxonomy places the organism in Eukaryota, Metazoa, Chordata, Mammalia, Rodentia, Cricetidae. The transcript is spliced from 3 exons. The record is from RefSeq and is a predicted model, not a curated record.